RNAcentral lists this ribosomal RNA (694 nucleotides) under uncultured bacterium. Its description in RNAcentral is "bacterial SSU rRNA". It matches the Rfam family "Bacterial small subunit ribosomal RNA", at positions 32 to 715 of the family's 1533-position model. The record is from RNAcentral.
AACGCUAGCUACAGGCUUAACACAUGCAAGUCGCGGGGUAACGAGAGGGAAGCUUGCUUUCCUUGUCGACGACCGGCGCACGGGUGAGUAACGCGUAUCCAACCUGCCCAUUACCACGGGAUACCCCGUCGAGAGGCGGCCUAAUACCGUAUGCAGUCGUCAGAUGACAUCAGAGGACGACGAAAGGAUUGGCGGUAAUGGAUGGGGAUGCGUCUGAUUAGGUAGUUGGAGGGGUAACGGCCCACCAAGCCAUCGAUCAGUAGGGGUUCUGAGAGGAAGGUCCCCCACAUUGGAACUGAGACACGGUCCAAACUCCUACGGGAGGCAGCAGUGAGGAAUAUUGGUCAAUGGGCGCGAGCCUGAACCAGCCAAGUAGCGUGAGGGAUGACGGCCCUAUGGGUUGUAAACCUCUUUUAUGCGGGAAUAAAAUGUUCGACGUGUCAUACAUUGUAGGUACCGCAAGAAUAAGGACCGGCUAAUUCCGUGCCAGCAGCCGCGGUAAUACGGAAGGUCCAGGCGUUAUCCGGAUUUAUUGGGUUUAAAGGGAGCGUAGGCCGCAAGUCAAGCGUGUUGUGAAAUGCAGGGGCUCAACCUCUGGAUUGCAGCGCGAACUGGCAUGCUUGAGUACGCACGAGGUGGGCGGAAUUCGUGGUGUAGCGGUGAAAUGCUUAGAUAUCACGAAGAACUCCGAUUG